GACGAACGCUGGCGGCGUGCUUAACACAUGCAAGUCGAACGGAAAGGCCCUGCUUGCAGGGUACUCGAGUGGCGAACGGGUGAGUAACACGUGGGUGAUCUGCCCUGCACUUCGGGAUAAGCUUGGGAAACUGGGUCUAAUACCGGAUAGGAACCAUCUUUAGUGUAAUGGUUGGAAAGUUUUUUCGGUGUAGGAUGAGCUCGCGGCCUAUCAGCUUGUUGGUGGGGUAAUGGCCUACCAAGGCGGCGACGGGUAGCCGGCCUGAGAGGGUGUACGGCCACAUUGGGACUGAGAUACGGCCCAGACUCCUACGGGAGGCAGCAGUGGGGAAUAUUGCACAAUGGGCGCAAGCCUGAUGCAGCGACGCCGCGUGGGGGAUGAAGGCCUUCGGGUUGUAAACUCCUUUCGCUAGGGACGAAGCUUUUUGUGACGGUACCUAGAUAAGAAGCACCGGCUAACUACGUG
This 465-nucleotide ribosomal RNA is filed under the name uncultured bacterium. Its description in RNAcentral is "partial 16S ribosomal RNA". It matches the Rfam family "Bacterial small subunit ribosomal RNA", at positions 28 to 507 of the family's 1533-position model. The record is from RNAcentral.